GCAUCUAGGGCACACAUCUAACAUAGGUUUAUUUCUAUCAGUGGGUUCAAUCCAAAUUUAAUUUGGAUUAGAAUUAGAAUUGAAAAUGAAGAGUCCUUGUCAACUUGGACUCUAUCCUCAUCUUUUGCACCACUCCUGAACCCAUGCCAAUUUCUCCAUGCCUAAUUGGAUUUGGGUUGUGAUUUUUGGCAUCAUGAUAGAAGGUCCA
RNAcentral lists this long non-coding RNA (208 nucleotides) under Elaeis guineensis (African oil palm). RNAcentral describes it as "long non-coding RNA (EGUI_LNC014655)". The record is from RNAcentral. Lineage: Eukaryota; Viridiplantae; Streptophyta; Magnoliopsida; Arecales; Arecaceae.